Molecule: ribosomal RNA, 497 nt
Filed under: uncultured bacterium
Lineage: Bacteria
Description: partial 16S ribosomal RNA
Rfam family: Bacterial small subunit ribosomal RNA
Source: RNAcentral
GAUGAACGCUGGCGGCGUGCCUAAUACAUGCAAGUCGAGCGAACAGACGAGGAGCUUGCUCCUCUGACGUUAGCGGCGGACGGGUGAGUAACACGUGGAUAACCUACCUAUAAGACUGGGAUAACUUCGGGAAACCGGAGCUAAUACCGGAUAAUAUAUUGAACCGCAUGGUUCAAUAGUGAAAGACGGUUUUGCUGUCACUUAUAGAUGGAUCCGCGCCGCAUUAGCUAGUUGGUAAGGUAACGGCUUACCAAGGCGACGAUGCGUAGCCGACCUGAGAGAGUGAUCGGCCACACUGGAACUGAGACACGGUCCAGACUCCUACGGGAGGCAGCAGUAGGGAAUCUUCCGCAAUGGGCGAAAGCUUGACGGAGCAACGCCGCGUGAGUGAUGAAGGUCUUCGGAUCGUAAAACUCUGUUAUUAGGGAAGAACAAAUGUGUAAGUAACUAUGCACGUCUUGACGGUACCUAAUCAGAAAGCCACGGCUAACUACGUG